RNAcentral lists this long non-coding RNA (1178 nucleotides) under Vulpes vulpes (red fox). RNAcentral's name for it is "lncRNA (ENSVVUG00000016040.1)". The record is from RNAcentral. Lineage: Eukaryota; Metazoa; Chordata; Mammalia; Carnivora; Canidae.
AUGAUAAUCAGAGAAAGGUCUUCAACAAAGAGGAGUUCACUCUUUGGCAUUGGUAUCAAGGUACCCCUUGACAUGAAAGUGAAAGAACAAGCAUAUCACAUCUUUCCAGAGUGUCACUUUUACUCAAAAGCUGACAAUUCUGGGUUCCCUACCGUAGUUCAUCUCUACUGGUUGCCACCACCUCAUCACUACCUCUCUACAUCUCCCGACCUUGCUCCUGGAUCAAGUUUUCUACAAGCCAGAUAUUUCCUAUUGGCCCUUUGUGACUUGUUUUCCUACUUGAUUUUCUGCAGCUAAGCUAAACCUUCCAUCUCUACUAUGUUCAGGCUGGCAUAACCAUCACAGACAACAAGAAUAGCACACAAUGACUUUAAUUAAUGGAGCCAGGAAUGGGUCAGCUCUAUUUUAUGUGGUGAUUUGCUUAUUUGAAUAAUCUGCCCUAUAGAAGAUUUGUCAAUUUUUCCUGCUCUGUUCAUCCCAUAAUUGUGGCUAUAGGGCAUUCAACAGUCUUUAGGACUUCUUUAUGUACUCUUGAAAUAUGUAUCCAAAUGAAUCUAAUAAUUUGAUGUGAAAUUAGAUAAAUUAUAUUAUAUAGUGCAGUGGUUUUUAUGAAAACAACAGGGCAUGCUAUGUCCUGCAUUAGAGAACAUAUUUAUUUCUCAAUCUAAGAGUCAUUAGGGAUUCUGAGAGUCACUGGUAUUAUGCCAUUGGCUUCAAACAUUAUCAACAAAGGCCACAAUGUAAUGAGCUAACAUUUGUUUAGAAUAUUCAUCCAUUACUAAAUAUCACUUUCUUCCCUUACAGCAAUUUGUUCCAAACUACAGCAUAAAAUGUCACAUUAUUGAUGUGGCAUUAUCAAGUUUCAUCAUGAUUGACCUGAUGUCACACUGUUUUGUAACACAACUGGUUGCUGUCAAUCAAAAGUACUUACAGAAACCUGUUACAAACAUAGGGAACAAUUUGUGCCAGCAAAGAACCAUCUGUACACUCUUCACCUUAAAGAUGAGCCUUGUGGUUAUUCAAAAAGUCAUUAAAAUUUAAUGUGAAUUUUUGCUAUGUAUUUUUGCCUUUGAUUGAUCCCUGAAAUUUUUAACAUUUCAAUAGUCAUUCCAUAUAAGUAAAAAUAUUUAGGACUUUCCUCUAUGUAGGAGUUUUCAUUGACGGUGGUGACAUACCAG